CCUACGGGAGGCAGCAGUGGGGAAUAUUUCACAAUGGGGGAAACCCUGUUGCAGCGACGUCGCGUGAGUGAUGAAGUAUUUCGGUAUGUAAAGCUCUAUCAGCAGGGAAGAAAAUGACGGUACCUGACUAAGAAGCACCGGCUAACUACGUGCCAGCAGCCGCGGUAAUACGUAGGGGGCAAGCGUCAUCCGGAUUUACUGGGUGUAAAGGGAGCGUAGACGGCGGUGCAAGCCAGAUGUGAAAGCCCUGGGCUCAACCCCGGGACUGCAUUUGGAACUGUGCUGCUAGAGUGUCGGAGAGGCAGGCAGAAUUCCUAGUGUAGCGGUGAAAUGCGUAGAUAUUAGGAGGAAUACCAGUGGCGAAGGCGGCCUGCUGGACGAUGACUGACGUUGAGGCUCGAAAGCGUGGGGAGCAAACAGGAUUAGAUACCCGGGUAGUC
Molecule: ribosomal RNA, 440 nt
Filed under: uncultured bacterium
Lineage: Bacteria
Description: partial 16S ribosomal RNA
Rfam family: Bacterial small subunit ribosomal RNA
Source: RNAcentral